GACGAACGCUGGCGGCGUGCUUAACACAUGCAAGUCGAACGGUAAGGCCCUUCGGGGUACACGAGUGGCGAACGGGUGAGUAACACGUGGGUGAUCUGCCCUGCACUUCGGGAUAAGCCUGGGAAACUGGGUCUAAUACCGGAUAGGACUCCUGGCUUCAUGGUUGGGGGUGGAAAGCUUUUGCGGUGUGGGAUGGGCCCGCGGCCUAUCAGCUUGUUGGUGGGGUAAUGGCCUACCAAGGCGACGACGGGUAGCCGGCCUGAGAGGGUGACCGGUCACACUGGGACUGAGGUACGGCCCAGACUCCUACGGGAGGCAGCAGUGGGGAAUAUUGCACAAUGGGCGCAAGCCUGAUGCAGCGACGCCGCGUGAGGGAUGACGGCCUUCGGGUUGUAAACCUCUUUCAGUAGGGACGAAGCGCAAGUGACGGUACCUACAGAAGAAGGACCGGCCAACUACGUGCCAGCAGCCGCAGUAA
RNAcentral lists this ribosomal RNA (478 nucleotides) under uncultured bacterium. RNAcentral's name for it is "partial 16S ribosomal RNA". It matches the Rfam family "Bacterial small subunit ribosomal RNA", at positions 28 to 523 of the family's 1533-position model. The record is from RNAcentral.